CGGACGAAUUCUAAUUGCUUUUGAAUUCAAUGAAAGGAAGUAAUCGGUUAAAACGGGAAUAGAGAAAGGUAAUUGCGUUAAUUUAGUGGGCAUUCGAGGUUUAAAAAAUAGUUUUGAAGUUAUUCUGAACUUAUUUAAACGCAUUUCGCAUUGCACUUCUCUGUAUUUCGGUACAUAAACUCUUCCAUAAAGCCUUAAAAUAGUAAAGUUAUAGUUAAGAAAUAGUAAAAGUAGUAAAUGUGAAAGAUAUACUUAAAGAUAAAUGUAUGUUCUAUUUGAGAACAGAUUUGCUAAUAGUAAACGAAGAAAAGGGGUUUUGUAUUUUGUAGCUUUAAAAUGGUAAUUAUUAAUCAGUUGUCUGUUAAAAGCUAUCGAAUAGUUAAAAAUAUCUUAAGGUAGGUUAAAAUUUAAGCAUUUCGUGGAAUGGAGAAGAAAUAUUAUUAAUCUAAGGAUAUUUCGUGCAAGUUGCUUUUAAGCGAUGUGAAUGUUGCAAUUAUGUAGAUUUUACAUGGUAUGGCCUAAUGACAGAAGAAAGAAUCGUGGCAAUGAUUUUCUUGUGUCCUUUUCUACAAAUCAAAGUCGCAUUAUUUCCGCUCAUAAGUUUUAGGUUUAAAGAUCUCCAAGGCUUCUAUAUUUAAACUGUCUCAACAAUAACAAGAAAGUUUCUGUUGGAUUCAUUAGCUUUUACUCAUUCAAGUAAAAUUCAACAUCAGAAAUCCUCAAUGAAGCAAAUACGCCUGUAGUUGUUACUGAUGCAGUUCACUCCAGAGACAAUGCUGUUUACUGGAACAAUGGCUCCACGUUAUUCUCCAUAUGAAGAGUAGCCUUUUUGAUAAAAAUAGUAGCCGAUAGAGCUAUCUGGAUGGCCAAGAAAAUCUUUUCAAUUUAGUUCAGAAUUCAUAUAGGUUGGGCCACUCGUGAUCGAUGCUAUUUUUCGCGAUAAAAAUCCAUCAACCAUCAGUAGUCCUGAUUUCUUAGCUUCGGGUGUAUGCCAUACUUCUACAUUAGUAAUGCUGGAUGUGAGGAAGUACUCUGAAGAUGGUACCGAGAAUUAAUUGUAUUAGAAGUUCAAGGACACGAUGUUGACAUGUUUGACCAAAGUGAUCGCGGUUCUACAGAUACCUGGAGCUUUCAACAAAAAUAUAUUUGAAUUCUGAAUCGGAAGAGUCAGAUAGAACGUUAUAUAAAGGAGGCAAAAUAUUAGACAAUUGACGCAACGGCAGAGCAUUGUCCAAAGAACACAUUUGACACCAUCUAUUGAGAAAAUGGCACAACGGCACUCCCAUUUUCCAAGGCUCUCUCGGCUUCAGUCACAAAUUCUCUAUAUAUCGAAGAUAUGUGAAUGGCCAGGAGGAUGGUAAAUUGGAAAAACAUGACGUCUACUAUCAGUAGUAAAAUGCCUUUCUUUGUUCCAUACACAUGCCAUCAGUAGAUACUAAUUUUGCUUGAUGUGGAGAGGAUACUCCUUUUAUGACAUCGAAAUAUUCAAGAACAUGAUAUUAACAUGCUUUGACCAAAGUGAUAAUAGCACAACAGAUAACAUCCGGAACCUUCAUGAAGCGCUUAUUGGAAGUUGGA
Molecule: long non-coding RNA, 1578 nt
Organism: Argiope bruennichi
Lineage: Eukaryota; Metazoa; Arthropoda; Arachnida; Araneae; Araneidae
Exons: 6
Source: RefSeq, a predicted model, not a curated record